CCACAACUGUCAGUAAGAGUGUCCAUGAUUGAGUCUUUGAAUGAAGAGAACACGCUUUGAGAACACACCCUGGUAUUCCAUCUGGCCCGGCGGUCAUGCGAGUGUUAACCUGUUUAAACGUUUUUUUUUUUAAAACAGGUAAAGUCCUCGUACCAGUCCUCACAGAGCCUGGUGGAGAUAGAUAUGCAACCAUACUACAAGUCAGGACAUUUCUCUGCAUCCAGGUUGAGGCUUGCUACCAGCAAGAACAUGGACCACUCUAUGUCAGUGCCACAGAGAGCGAAUGGUAUUCCAGGGCCAUCUGACCGACUACCUGCGAUCACUACAGAGCAC
RNAcentral lists this long non-coding RNA (333 nucleotides) under Salmo salar (Atlantic salmon). RNAcentral describes it as "lncRNA (ENSSSAG00000082721.1)". The record is from RNAcentral. Lineage: Eukaryota; Metazoa; Chordata; Actinopteri; Salmoniformes; Salmonidae.